Molecule: long non-coding RNA, 492 nt
Filed under: Sinocyclocheilus grahami
Lineage: Eukaryota; Metazoa; Chordata; Actinopteri; Cypriniformes; Cyprinidae
Description: lncRNA (ENSSGRG00000044532.1)
Source: RNAcentral
GCCAGUAACCUCCUGACCGUGCACUUCAUCUUGGACGACACUGUUCAAUGCCGUGGCUUCAAUGCCACCUACAGCACAGUGGACAGUCUUUGUGGAGGAGCAUUCAAUGCCACAGCAUCAUCUCAGACCAUCACAUCCCCAUAUUACCACAACGCCUACCCGCCAUUCACCUCUUGCCGCUGGGUGCUGGAUGCUCCUUCUCAGGAGGUGGUGAAAGUGUCUGUUCAGUAGUUUCACCUGGACUCCAGCCAGAGCUGUGCCAGCAAUUUCCUGGAGUUUAAGGACUUCGCUGUGGGAGAUUAUGGACAGACUCAUAAGUUCUGUGGCAUAGACCAGAUUUCUACAGUUAUGGCCGCACCAUGCACAUCACCUUCAAAUCAGAAGCCUUCAUGACUGGCAACGGAUUUAGCCUCACAUAUCAGGUGGCAGGUGAGUCCUUUCCCUGUGAUUACUAGUGUUUUUACUCAUGUCGGUGUGAUUAUAUUGUCAGUG